AACACCGGUUGAUCCUGCCGGAGGCCACCGCUAUUGGAGUUCGACUAAGCCAUGCGAGUCCAGGGGGGCUUUGCCCACCGGCGGACGGCUCAGUAACACGUGGACAACCUGCCCUCAGGAGAGGGAUAACCCCGGGAAACUGGGUCUAAACCCUCAUAGGUCAUAUUCGCUGGAAGGCAAUAUGGCUGAAACUCCGCAAGGAGCCUGAGGAUGGGUCUGCGGCCUAUCAGGUUGUAGUUAGGGUAACGGCCUAACUAGC
Molecule: ribosomal RNA, 259 nt
Filed under: Thermoplasmatales archaeon
Lineage: Archaea; Methanobacteriati; Thermoplasmatota; Thermoplasmata; Thermoplasmatales
Description: partial 16S ribosomal RNA
Rfam family: Archaeal small subunit ribosomal RNA
Source: RNAcentral